This 492-nucleotide ribosomal RNA is filed under the name uncultured bacterium. RNAcentral's name for it is "partial 16S ribosomal RNA". It matches the Rfam family "Bacterial small subunit ribosomal RNA", at positions 29 to 507 of the family's 1533-position model. The record is from RNAcentral.
AGUGAACGCUGGCGGUAGGCCUAACACAUGCAAGUCGAACGGCAGCACAGUAAGAGCUUGCUCUUACGGGUGGCGAGUGGCGGACGGGUGAGGAAUACAUCGGAAUCUACUUUUUCGUGGGGGAUAACGUAGGGAAACUUACGCUAAUACCGCAUACGACCUACGGGUGAAAGCAGGGGAUCUUCGGACCUUGCGCGAUUGAAUGAGCCGAUGUCGGAUUAGCUAGGUGGCGGGGUAAAGGCCCACCAAGGCGACGAUCCGUAGCUGGUCUGAGAGGAUGAUCCGCCACACUGGAACUGAGACACGGUCCAGACUCCUACGGGAGGCAGCAGUGGGGAAUAUUGGACAAUGGGCGCAAGCCUGAUCCAGCCAUACCGCGUGGGUGAAGAAGGCCUUCGGGUUGUAAAGCCCUUUUGUUGGGAAAGAAAAGCAGCAGGUUAAUACCCCGCUGUUCUGACGGUACCCAAAGAAUAAGCACCGGCUAACUUCGUG